This 253-nucleotide ribosomal RNA is filed under the name uncultured bacterium. RNAcentral describes it as "partial 16S ribosomal RNA". It matches the Rfam family "Bacterial small subunit ribosomal RNA", at positions 524 to 776 of the family's 1533-position model. The record is from RNAcentral.
UACGGAGGGUGCAAGCGUUGUCCGGAAUCACUGGGCGUAAAGGGCGCGUAGGCGGCCUGGUAAGUAGGGGGUGAAAUCCUGCGGCUUAACCGCAGGGCUGCCUUCUAAACUGUCAGGCUUGAGCACGGUAGAGGCAGAUGGAAUUCCCGGUGUAGCGGUGGAAUGCGUAGAGAUCGGGAAGAACAUCAGUGGCGAAGGCGGCUGCCUGGCCCAAUACUGACACUCAGGUGCGACAGCGUGGGGAGCAAACAGG